UCCCUGGUGGCUUAGAUGGUAAAGAAUCUGCCUGCAAUGCAGGAGACCCGGGUUCAGUCCCUGGGUCGGGAA
RNAcentral lists this transfer RNA (72 nucleotides) under Bos taurus (domestic cattle). It matches the Rfam family "tRNA". From Rfam's summary of the family: Transfer RNA (tRNA) molecules are approximately 80 nucleotides in length. RNAcentral also lists the same sequence under 5 other names. Lineage: Eukaryota; Metazoa; Chordata; Mammalia; Artiodactyla; Bovidae. The record is from Rfam by way of RNAcentral.